RNAcentral lists this small RNA (1320 nucleotides) under Pongo abelii (Sumatran orangutan). Its description in RNAcentral is "retained intron". Lineage: Eukaryota; Metazoa; Chordata; Mammalia; Primates; Hominidae. The record is from RNAcentral.
UUAGUGAUGCUGAACGUUGUUUGCAUGAACCUGGUAUGUCUUCUUUUGAGAAGCAUUUUCACAAGCCAUUGGUGAAGUAUGUGGCUCACCACCACCCAUACUCCAGCCCUGUUUCCAGUCACUGGUACCUAGAGGGUGAGAGUGAGGCUGCUCAUCACAUGUUCUCCAAGUCAUAAGGUGCUGCCCUCCCACUCACAAUACUUGGUGAUUGAGUGAUGUUUUCCACUUAAAGACAGUGAUAGCUGUAUCACCACAGUUAAUAGAUGUCUGGUGUGUCCCAGUCACAGAGAUAAUACAAAUGUGAGGAAAUAAUGCUGGUGCAUGAAAGCAUUGGAGACCAUUUGUAAGAAUGCCAUUUGGUAGUUAAAGUGAACAUGAAAAUUGUUUAGUUUUUCUUGGUUUCAUAAACAUUUUUUCUUCCUGUAGAACUGAUAAAUUUCAAACGGAAGAGAGUGGCAGCAUUUAGAAAGAAUCUAAUUGAAAUGUCUGAACUGGAAAUAAAACAUGCCAGGAACAAUGUCUCCCUUUUGCAGAGCUGUAUUGACUUGUUCAAGAAUAACUGAUAUGCCUUCACUCAGAAGAAAAGAAAUGAAUGUGAAAGAAAGCCAAGCAUCACUUGCACUUAAAUCAUUACCACGGAAGAUAUAUUAGCUUCAACUUUAGUUUAAAAUUAUGUGAAUAAAUAUUUUGAUUUCUACAAAUCUUAACAUUUAACCAUGUUGGUUUAAAAAUAUUAUUGCUUGCUACUUGGACAUAACUAAAUUUUCCUUGUGCAUUUAAUACCUCUGGGCAGAAUCUAAAUACUGGGUUCUCCCGUAGUUCGUCUUUAGUUACUAAGAAAGGGUGUAGGAGACAUUUGCCUUCUGGAAACAAGUAGAAGCAAUCACCUGGCCCAUGUCCCUACAAACCCAUGAUUGUCAGGGAGGUGCCAGUUACAGCAGGUGAUUCAGCUACUUGAGGCCGGUAACAGACCUUCCAUUCCUCACUGAAGGUGGGGUUUGUGUUUUUGUUUUGCCCUGUUACUCCACUGGUAGUCCUCUGGUGUUUGUACUAUAACAACAGCAAGAAAAUCUCAUUUAUCUUUAUAUACUCUUUGCACCUCCUUUUUUUAGUCAAGAUAUAAAUAUUUGAGAGGAGAGAAAUAUCUACGGGUAUAUAUGGAAACAAAUAAUGUGGUCUGCUUUAUAAGAUGGCCAGAUCUACAUUAGGAAAAGUAUGAGCCCCCUCCCUAGUGGCCGUUGGAGGGGUGAGGGGGGUAUGGUGUAUGUCUUUGGGCAUUUGUUUUUUAUAAAGCAUAUAAUAAAAUAAUCGUGCUACUAA